ACCUGAUCAGCCAUGCCGCGUGAGUGAAGAAGGCCUUCGGGUUGUAAAGCUCUUUCAGCCGGAACGAAAAGGUUACGGUUAAUACCCGUGAUUACUGACGGUACCGGAAGAAGAAGCACCGGCUAACUACGUGCCAGCAGCCGCGGUAAUA
Molecule: ribosomal RNA, 151 nt
Filed under: uncultured ammonia-oxidizing bacterium
Lineage: Bacteria
Description: partial 16S ribosomal RNA
Rfam family: Bacterial small subunit ribosomal RNA
Source: RNAcentral